AUACGUAGGGGGCGAGCGUUGUCCGGAAUGAUUGGGCGUAAAGGGCGCGUAGGCGGCCCGGUAAGUCUGGAGUGAAAGUCCUGUUUUUAAGAUGGGAAUUGCUUUGGAUACUGUCGGGCUUGAGUGCAGGAGAGGUAAGUGGAAUUCCCAGUGUAGCGGUGAAAUGCGUAGAGAUUGGGAGGAACACCAGUGGCGAAGGGGACUUCCUGGAGUGUAACUGACGCUGAGGCGCGAAAGUGUGGGGAGCAAACAGGAGUAGAUACCCUGGUAGUCCACACUGUAAACGCGGAAUGCUAUGGUUAGGGGGUAUCGACCCCCUCUGUGCCGCAGUCAACACAUUAAGCAUUCCGCCUGGGGAGUACGGCCGCAAGGUUGAAACUUAAAGGAAUUGACGGGG
This 397-nucleotide ribosomal RNA is filed under the name uncultured bacterium. RNAcentral's name for it is "partial 16S ribosomal RNA". It matches the Rfam family "Bacterial small subunit ribosomal RNA", at positions 523 to 918 of the family's 1533-position model. The record is from RNAcentral.